RNAcentral lists this unclassified non-coding RNA (340 nucleotides) under Hevea brasiliensis (rubber tree). Lineage: Eukaryota; Viridiplantae; Streptophyta; Magnoliopsida; Malpighiales; Euphorbiaceae. The record is from RNAcentral.
GUCUCUAUCAACCACUCUAUGUAGUAGCUGAGAAAUACCCAUCCAAAAGCUGACUGGAAGGUGAUACUUGAAGUGACUGAUCAAUGCUGAACUUACGUCACAAGCAAAUUUCUGGAACUCUGGCUUCACCACCAAGCGAAUCAGCAUUGCUGACCACAAAUCCGGAGCCAAUUUCACUGCACGUCCUAGGGAAUGAAACCCACUCAACACCCUAACCAUAAUACCAUGUUCCUCAUAUCCAAAUAAACGUCUCGCUCGAAGCUUCUCAUCAAGAAGAUUAUUUAGAAAUUCAUCUUGAUAGAAAACAUCAGCUGCUUUAACUAUGUCUCUGACAAGGAAU